AGCAGCCGCGGUAAUUCCAGCUCCAAUAGCGUAUAUUAAAGUUGUUGCAGUUAAAAAGCUCGUAGUUGAAUUUCGAGAUCAAAUUGUUGGUCGUGCCUUGGUACGCACUGGCAUUAUUGGUUUCUCCCUUCUGACGAACCAUGAUGUCAUUAAUUUGGUGUCUUGGGGAAUCAGGACUGUUACUUUGAAAAAUUAGAGUGUUUAAAGCAGGCUCACGCUUGAAUACAUUAGCAUGGAAUAAUGAAAUAGGACGUUUGAUUCUAUUUUGUUGGUUUCUAGGAUCGACGUAAUGAUUAAUAGGGAUAGUUGGGGGCAUUAGUAUUCAAUUGUCAGAGGUGAAAUUCUUGGAUUUAUUGAAGACUAACUACUGCGAAAGCAUUUGCCAAGGAUGUUUUCAUUAAUCAAGAACGAAAGUUAGGGGAUCGAAGACGAUCAGAUACCGUCGUAGUCUUAACCAUAAACUAUGCCGACUAGGGAUCGGAUGAUGUUAAUUUUUAAUGACUCAUUCGGACG
Molecule: ribosomal RNA, 513 nt
Filed under: uncultured Glomus
Lineage: Eukaryota; Fungi; Glomeromycota; Glomeromycetes; Glomerales; Glomeraceae
Description: SSU rRNA
Rfam family: Eukaryotic small subunit ribosomal RNA
Source: RNAcentral